Molecule: ribosomal RNA, 310 nt
Filed under: uncultured bacterium
Lineage: Bacteria
Description: bacterial SSU rRNA
Rfam family: Bacterial small subunit ribosomal RNA
Source: RNAcentral
CUACGUGCCAGCAGCCGCGGUAAUACGUAGGUCCCGAGCGUUGUCCGGAUUUAUUGGGCGUAAAGCGAGCGCAGGCGGUUAGAUAAGUCUGAAGUUAAAGGCUGUGGCUUAACCAUAGUACGCUUUGGAAACUGUUUAACUUGAGUGCAAGAGGGGAGAGUGGAAUUCCAUGUGUAGCGGUGAAAUGCGUAGGUAUAUGGAGGAACACCGGUGGCGAAAGCGGCUCUCUGGCUUGUAACUGACGCUGAGGCUCGAAAGCGUGGGGAGCAAACAGGAUUAGAUACCCUGGUAGUCCACGCCGUAAACGAUG